CUUUUUCCCCUGGAAAAUGAUGAGAGAACAAACACGUGACAGAUGUGUAGUCUUGUUGCUUAAUUCACUACUGGAAAGCGCUCAGAUGCUAUAGUGAUGAGUGCAGUAUAAAACCUGUAUAAUAG
Non-coding RNA from Chelonoidis abingdonii (Abingdon island giant tortoise), 125 nucleotides. Lineage: Eukaryota; Metazoa; Chordata; Testudines; Testudinidae. The record is from RefSeq and is a predicted model, not a curated record.